Molecule: ribosomal RNA, 253 nt
Filed under: uncultured bacterium
Lineage: Bacteria
Description: partial 16S ribosomal RNA
Rfam family: Bacterial small subunit ribosomal RNA
Source: RNAcentral
UACAGAGGUGGCAAGCGUUGUUCGGAAUUACUGGGCGUAAAGGGCGCGUAGGCGGUUCUGUAAGUCCCGCGUGAAAUCCCCCGGCUCAACUGGGGAACUGCGUGGGAAACUGUGGGGCUAGAGUUCAGGAGAGGGAAGCGGAAUUCCGGGUGUAGCGGUGAAAUGCGUAGAUAUCCGGAGGAACACCGGUGGCGAAGGCGGCUUCCUGGACUGACACUGACGCUGAGGCGCGAAAGCUAGGGGAGCAAACGGG